ACAAAAUUGACUUUUGUGAGACAAAAAUUGACUUUUGUGAGACAAAAUUGACAAAAUUGACUUUUGUCUCACAAAAGUCUAUUUUGUAUGCAAAUU
RNAcentral lists this small RNA (96 nucleotides) under Mytilus galloprovincialis (Mediterranean mussel). Lineage: Eukaryota; Metazoa; Mollusca; Bivalvia; Mytilida; Mytilidae. The record is from RNAcentral.